CAAGCCAUGUUCCUUGAAUAAUUGUAUAAAUCACAUCUAAGUAACAAAUGAAGUAAGAAACCGUUAGUGUAUAAUGACUAUAUAAGAUGUCAAUAUAAACAUCACAAGAAGCAGCAAUAUAGAACACUUAAAUAGCACAAUACACAAGUGUUUUAUUAUCUUCAUUCAAAAACCUAUGUGCCUUGAUCCUGCACACUCACACCAAUGCACUCAAAUCAUAAUUAAAUACAAGCUACAUAUAUGUAUGUGUUGAAGAAUAAAUUCACCAAGAUAGGCAAUUACGAGAUAUUUUAGUUUCAUAAUAUUAUGUAUUGAUAUAUUAUAGGUUUACUAAUUGCACUACAAACAUGCAUACACUUUUCUUCUCUAUUUAAAAGGAGCUCUCUGUACAAUACCAGUCAUUGAAUAGGAAAAAUAAAUAAUUUUCUUAGCAGUCAAUUUUACCACCACCUAAAACUGCUAAUAGUUUAUAUAAAACCAAUUGCCUAUCUAUAAUGUAUUAAACCAACUGCUAAUAGUUUAUAUAAAACCAAAUGCUAAUAUUUAAUUUUGCAAGACUGGGCUAUGGGACAGAGCAAAAGAAUUACCAUCUUACCUUAUAUAUAAAGCCAUCCAUUCCAAAAUGAAAGAACAAAGUAGCACUAAACUGCACAUAAUCAGAAAUGUGCUGAUAGCUUUAUACAUGACAUACAAAAAGCAUAAUUAUUGUGAGAAAGUAGCUAUACAUUAGAACAUAUUCCCUUACUAACUACUAUCUCUCAAGUGUAUGUAACAUUUAGGUGAGGCAGAAAAUUAAAAUACACAUUAAUCAAAAGAAAUCAUAGCACUACUAUUAAGUCCAAGGUAUUGACAAUAUUUUGGAGUCAAUUAUAGCACCAGAUCAAUAAGUAUCAACUUUCAAGUCUUCAUUCUUCAAUUAAACAUCAACCUACAUUAGGAGCAUGUGCAUGACAUAGUAAGACAUCUGUAACCGAAGAAAGGUAGGAACUAGGAACACAUGACAUUGCAUCAGAUGGAAUACAAAAGGCAUUAAUCAAGGUUACAAAGUUCCAUCAAUGAAACUAACAGGAAACCAAAGGGUGAGAGAAGGAUGUAUUUUCCUUAUUCAUUAUAUUGGAGGAACUACAAGUAGAAAGCAUUGAUAAUAUUUUUGGAUACACUAAGAACUCAAGUUCCCUGUCACAGUCAAAGAAAAGAAGAAAAAGGGUUGUUCCAACAGUGGAUUAUCAAUCCAAGCAGAACAAGAAGAAGAAAACCAAUCUUCAAUGAAUAACCUCGAGAACAAUUUUAUUGAAUGAUGCUAUCAAUGAUCAGUUUUAAUUGCAUUACAAAAAUUGAUUGAAGACUAGAAUUUAUAAUAAAAUAGAAAGCCCAACUACCAAACUAAAGAGAGCACAAGCUAUAAAAGGAAACUGACUAAACUAACUAAUUAACUUAUGAGUCUAACUAACUAUUGAUCAAUUAUAUAAGAGCACAUGUUAAAUAUGCAAAUUGUGCUAAUAAUAAUACUUAUAACUAAUUGGAAAACAUAUAUGAUUGUACUGCUACUGUUAUUGCUAUAUGUAUGUUGUUGGUUUGGUGAUGUUGAUUUUCUUGUACUGCUACUGUUAUUACUAUAUGUAUGUUGUUGGUUUGGUGAUGUUGAUUUUGUGAUUGUGUUGAUUAAAUGAAGAGCUUGGAAAGUUCCUUGUCUUUGAGUUGUGGUUGGCAAUGUUUUGUUGGAGAAACAGAGGUUUAUGUGAGGUGAGUUUUGCAUUUCAUGUGAAACCCCCCCAUAAGCUGGGGCACAGAUGUUGUUGAGGCCCAGCUUGGUCUGAAUGGAUGAGUAAUCCUUGGCUCCUAGAGGCUUAGUGAGAGCAUCUGCGAGUUGAAGAUGUGUAGGAACUGGAAGGAGUUUGAUUUUCCCUUGAGUGCACUUUUCUCUAACCGUGUGACAAUCAAGUUCUAUGUGCUUGGUUCUUUCAUGGAAAACAGGGUUAGUGGCAAGAUAAAUUGCAGAUUGAUUAUCACAAAACAUAAUAUCAGGUGUAGAAAAAGGAUAUUGUAAAUCUUCAAGUAAGUAAGUAAGCCAAGUUAAUUCACAAGUAGUAAUAGCCAUGUCCCGAUAUUUUGCUUCACAAGAGCUUCUAGAUAUAGUUUUCUGUUUCUCGGAUUUCCAAGAUAUGAGAGAGGAACCAAGAUAAAUGCAAUAACCAGUAAUGGAUCUUCUAGUGUCAGGGCAGGCUGCCCAAUCACUAUCACUAUAAGCUUUUAAUUGAAUAGUGGAAGUAUUAGAAAAGAAUAAGCCUAUAGCUGGAGUUCCUUUAAUGUAUCGAAGAACUUUUGAGGCUGCUAUGUGAUGAGUAGUGGUAGGUUUGGCCAUAAAUUGUGCCAAUUGUUGAACAGAGAAACAAAGGUCAGGUCUAGUGUUUGUUAGGUAGAUAAGUCUUCCUAUUAAUCUUCUAUAAGAGGAAGGAUCAGAGUAAGGGGCACUAGAAUCCUGAAAAAGGUGGGUGCCACUAGUCAUAGGUGUUCUGGAUGGUUUGCAGCCUAACAUUCCUACAUCAGAAAGGAUCUCGAGGGCAUACUUUCUCUGAUUCAUAGAGAUCCCUAUGUUGUUUAAAGCAAUCUCAAAGCCUAGGAAAAAUUUGAGAGUGCCUAGGCCCUUAAUUUUGAAGGUUUUAUCCAGGAGAGCUUUGAGUAUGGUAAUCUCAUUGGCAUUGUUUCCAGUGAGGAUGAUAUCAUCCACAUAGAUAAGGAUAACAAUGAUAGAGGUUGGAGAAGUCCAUUUGGUAAAGAGUGAAUGAUCUCCCUUAGCCUUAUUGUAGUUAUUUUUAAGAAGAAAUUGGGACAGUUUUGCAAACCAUUGUCUGCUUGCUUGUUUGAGUCCAUAGAGGGAUUUCUCAAGUUUGCAGACAUGGUUUGGUGCAGAGGAAGUAAGGCCUGGAGGGAGAGCCAUAUAGAUAGUUUCUUUAAGGUCUCCAUGGAGAAAAGCAUUAUUGAUAUCAAGCUGAUUCAGGGGCCAUUUGUGGAUAGAAGCUAAAGCUACAAGAAGCCUUACAAUACUGAUUUUGGCAACUGGUGAGAAUGUAUCAAUGUAGUCAAUGCCUUCAGUUUGGGUAUACCCUUUGGCCACUAAUCUAGCUUUGUAUCUUUCUAUUGAACCAUCAGCUUUGUAUUUAAUUUUGAAGACCCAUUUGCAUCCAAUAGGUUUCUUAUCUAUAGGUAAAUCAGUUAUAAUCCAAGUAUGGUUUUCUUGUAAAGCUUGUAGUUCUUGUUGUAUGGCUUGCUGCUAGUGAGGAAUUUUGAUGGCUUGUAGAUAAGUCUUUGGCUCAGUUUCAGAAGAGGCAGAGAGAAUUUAAUGCAAGUAAGGUUUGGAUAGGUUGUCAUAGGAUAGAUAUGAGGAAAGAGGGUAUCUGGAUUUAGAGGAUAGGGUGGUGUUAUUAAGCAAAGCAUAGUGGUAGUCUUUCAAAUAUGUAGGUGGUUUUGUAAUUCUGUUACUUCUUCUUACAGGAAGGAUAGGUUGAUCCUGGAUGGGGAAAUGAGGCUCAGGGGAUUGAGGAGGUAUUGCAGUUUCUAUAAUUUGGUCAGCAAAGAUUUGUGUGGUUGUUGGUAGAAUGUCUUCAUAAAAGGCAUUAGUAGGAGAAGGUUCAGGUAGAGGUUGAUGGUUGGGGGAAUUAUCUAAUGGUGAGUAAGGGAAUAUGGUUUCAUAGAAGACUACGUUUUUGUUACUUCUAAAGCCUUAGUGGAGAGGUUCAUAACUACAUAUCCUUUGACAUCUGGUUUAUAUCCUAAGAAAAUGCAUCUAGUAGCUCUAGGAUCAAACUUGGUUCUAGAGUGUUUCUGAGUGCUUGCAUAGCAUAAGGAGCCAAAAGUUCUUAAGUGUUGUAGAUUAGGUAAUUUCUGAUAUAAGACUUCAUAAGGAGUCUGUUGCUUGAGGAUAGGAGUAGGUAGGAGAUUAAUGAGGUGAGUGGCAUGCUUAAUAGCAUAAGACCAGAAUAUUUUGGGGAGGUUGCUCUGGAUCAGAAGAGCUCUAGCUACAUUCAACAAAUGUUGAUGUUUCCUCUCAACAACUCCAUUUUGUUGAGGGGUAUAAAUGCAUGAGGUUUGGUGAAUGAUUUCUUUUGUGUCAUAGAAGGAUUUCAUAGAGAAUUCAGUGCCAUUAUCACUUCGUAUUGUUUUGGUUUUGACAGAAAAUUGGGUUUCUAUCAUGUUGAUGAAGUUUUGUAAAGUGGAUUGAGUUUCUGUCUUACUUUGCAUGAGAUAAACCCAUGUGAACCUAGAAUGGUCAUCAACUAUAGUCAAGAAGUACUUAUGACCAUGUAAGGAUGGAAUAGGGAAAGGUCCCUAUAUAUCAGUGUGGAUUAAAUCAAAACAAUGCAAAGAUUGGCUACUACUUAUAGGGAAUGAAAGUCUCUUUUGUUGGCUAAGUGACAAAUCUCACAAAGUUGAUCUUUAUUUGUAGUAAUGAAAGAAAACUUUGUUCUAAUAGUAUCCAUACAGUUGUGAGAAAUAUAUCCUAAUCUAAAAUGCCAUAAGCUAGAACUGGAAAAACUAGAUUGACAAGUAUUAAAAGAAUUCACAUGGUGUUGUGUAAUUGCAGAGUUAAGCACAUAUAAACUAUUUGAAGCUUUAGCUAUACCAAUCCUCUUCAAAGACUUCUUCUCCUGGAUAAGGCAACAGUUAGAAUUGAAGGAUAAUAUGUAUGGUGAAUCAGAGGUAAGUCUUGAUAUUGACAGUAGAUUAUAUGAGAAAUUAGGUAGGUACAGAACAUUAUAAAAAAUUAAAUUGGGAAGCAAAAAAAUAGUGCCUGAGAUUUGUGAGGUUACCUCAUUGCCAUUAGGUAGCUUGACUUUAAUUGGCUUUAUUCUAUUAUAUGUUCCAAAGUUUGAGAGUUUGGAAUUAAUGUGGUCUGUUGCACCACUAUCUAAUAUCCAAGAGGAUAGUGUUUGGCCAAAAUGAAAAUUACCUGUAUUGUUGAUGUCUGGCAGUGUUGAAGUGGCUGAAAGAAUGUUGGAGUGUUCACUGUUAUUGUUUUGUGAACUUUGUGUUUGUUGUAACAUACUUACAAGACCUUGAUAUUGUUGCUUACUCAGUCCAAAGACUUUCUCAUCUACUUGUUCAGUUUCUUGCAUAUCAUUUUUCUCAGAUUCAUUUAGGCCUGCAGAUUGAGCAGAGUUCACCUGUUCUCCUUUAUUGAGAGGGAAAUUUGCAGGGUAACCAUGCAAUCUGUAACAAGUCUCUGUGGUGUGCCCAUUUUUCUUACAAUAUGUACAAUACUUUGGUGGAGUUUGUGUCUUGUUCCAAGAUCCCCUCCCAUAUCCACUAGAGUUUCCUCUUGCCUGGGUGUUAUUGGAGUUUCUGUUUGUUGUGUAUGAUCUUCCUGAGUAUCCUCCUCUUCUUGCAUUACCAGAGAUAGUCAUUGCUUUUGCAUCUGAGUCAUGUCCAUACAUCUGUGUUUCUUGUUGAACAACCAGUGAGAAAACCUUUCUCAUUGAAGGAAGGGGGUCCAUGAGCAUAAUUUGAGAUUUAACUCCACUAUAUGCCUCAUUAAGUCCUUUGAGAAACCUGAUGAUCUUAUCUUCUUCCCUAUGCUUCUUGAUGUCACAGAGGGCCUCACAAGUACAUCUUGGUUCUGGUCGAAAAGUAUCCAACUCAUCCCACAGAAUCUUAGUUUGGGUGAAGUACUUUGAGACACUUAAAUCACCUUGUUUGAUACUUCCUAUGGUAUCUUGUAAUUCUGCAAUCUUAAAGAGGUUACCUUGGGAAAAUCUUUCAUUGAGAUCCUCCUAUGCUUCAUAGGCUUUGUCUAUCCAAAGGAUGCUUUGUGCUAUAGAAGGUGAAACUGAUCUGAUGAUCCAUGAGGUGACCAAAUUAUUGGCCCUUGCCCAUGCCUUAUAUGAAGAGUCUGUCUUUCUUGGCAUUCUGAUUGAUCCAUCCACAAAUUCCCAUUUCUGUUUUGAUAUAAGGCUCAUCUCCAUAGAUCUUGCCCAUUGGUGGUAGUUGUCACCAUUCAACAAUGGUGAAACAAGGGGAGUGGCAGGAUUUUCUGAAGGGUGAAUGUAGUAUGGAUCUUGAGAAGGGUCAGAAGAAAUCUGGACAGGGUUAGGCAGAAUGGAGCUUGAAUCCAUGGCAGACAUUUGUUGAAUGUAACAGAGCUCUCUAAAAGAGCUCUGAUACCAUCAAAGAAAAGAAGAAAAAGAGUUGUUCCAACAGUGGAUUAUCAAUCCAAGCAGAACAAGAAGAAGAAUACCAAUCUUCAACGAAUAACCUCGAGAACAAUUUUAUUGAAUGAUGCUGAUCAAUGAUCAGUUUUAAUUGCAUUACAAAAAUUGAUUGAAGACUAGAAUUUAUACUAAAAUAGAAAGCCUAACUACCAAACUAAAGAGAGCACAAGCUAUAAAAGGAAACUGACUAAACUAACUAACUUAUGAGUCUAACUAACUAUUGAUCAAUUAUAUAAGAGCACAUGUUAAAUAUGCAAAUUGUGCUAAUAAUAAUACUUAUAACUAAUUGGAAAACAUAUAUGCUUGUACUGCUACUGUUAUUGCUAUAUGUAGGUUGUUGGUUUGGUGAUGUUGAUUUUCUUGUACUGCUACUGUUAUUGCUAUAUGUAUGUUGUUGGUUUGGUGAUGUUGAUUUUGUGAUUGUGUUGAUUAAAUGAAGAACUUGGAAAGUUCCUUGUCUUUGAGUUGUGGUUGGCAUUGUUUGUUGGAGAAACAAAGGUUUAUGUGAGGUGAGUUUUGCAUUUCAUGUGAAACACAGGGCAUUGAUUCAUGAGAAUAAUUAUUAAUUACCACAUCAACCUAAGGGAGGAUUGCAAUAGAAACAACACUGGUAUGAAUGUGCCCCAACUUUUCUGUUGCAGGAACUCGCUGUUAAAAAGGAAAGUCAGUAAUUGCCAAAAGUAGAUGUGGUCAUACAUUUUAUG
This 6910-nucleotide long non-coding RNA is filed under the name Lupinus angustifolius (narrow-leaved blue lupine). RNAcentral describes it as "long non-coding RNA (LANG_LNC002117)". The record is from RNAcentral. Lineage: Eukaryota; Viridiplantae; Streptophyta; Magnoliopsida; Fabales; Fabaceae.